Molecule: long non-coding RNA, 1235 nt
Organism: Pan paniscus (pygmy chimpanzee)
Lineage: Eukaryota; Metazoa; Chordata; Mammalia; Primates; Hominidae
Source: Ensembl
CAGAAGAUGUCUGCUUCUGCCUUCAAACUAUAAUUGCUUUUGGUCUGAAAUAAUUCAUUUCCCACUCUUUUUCCUCUUCUAGAAAACCUUGCCCUUUCAGCUGGAUAUUUUUCCUUAAUUUUGUGGCUACUUUUUUUUGGAGGGCAAUGGGAAGGGUUAGGGAGCCAGGAGGCUAAGGAGACCAGAAUGCAUGUCAUAACACACACAUUUUGUGAAGGUACAACGUAGAAUAAAGAGAGGAUCUGUGAGCCAAGGAAUGAAAAAAUAACACAUUUUGUCAUAAAAAUGAGGUUAACCAUCACAGUUUUUGAAUAUCUAGUGUCAUCAAAGGUAUUUGACCUUUUAAAAUCCAUCAGAGCAUGCUUCUAUUUGCUUUGUUUUCAGUAACUCAAGUGCUCAAGUAUGAUAGUUGAAAUCUUUUUUAGAAGCCAGUAUCUUAAAGAUCCCAAAUCUUGCGUGUUCUCCAAAGAAUUAUUUUAAAAACAUUGGAAUAAAAGCAUCAUCAAAUUUCCAUAAAAUCUGCAUUUGUGGAUUCUUUAGCACAGAACACUUCUGAUCUAUAGUAUACACUUUAUGGGAACUAGAAACAGGUGAUCUCAGCAACAGGGAGAACUUCAUGAGAUAGGGAGUUUAGGCAUCCAUGAGAAUCCACAACUGCAAAGUAGCAUGGUACAUCCUUCUAACCUCUAGGCUCAAGUCUUGAAUCAUGAAGAAUAGAAAAGGAAAGAUAUGACAGGAAAAAAGAGGAUGUGAAAGAGAGACAGAUUGAUCAUCGUGCAAUGCAUGAUGUACAGAUCAUAUGGACUUCUUGCAGUGCAGUGUACAUAUUCCCCACCUAUUUCUGUAAUUUUCCCAAACCAGUUCUGUGAAGGAUUCAUGACCACUACCCCAAAAUACGGCACCUCUGCCUGUGUGGAAACAACAGAAGCAGGAAGAUUACUCUCAUUUUUCUCUGGCCUUUUUCCCUUGAAGCAGACCAUAAAGAAGAAUCUGACCUUCCUCUGAAGGAAACCUUCAUUCCAGACAUACCCUCCCUAUAUCCAAAGAACAUCUUUAUCUUUAAAGACACAGAGAUGCCAAGAAGAAUCUGAACAAACAGGCUUUGCCAGAUUCCCCAGUUUACUAAUAUUGGACCAUACUCUUUUGUUCUUCAAUCAUACUUCUGCAUGAUGUCCAUAAAAAUACACAGUUUUCCCCAUUCCUUUGGGUAUUUAUUCCCGAAAGCCUCUGUGUCA